UACGGAAGGCAGCAGGGGGAAUAUUGCGACAAUGGGCGCAAGCCUGAUGCAGCCAUGCCGCGUGUAUGAAGAAGGCCUUCGGGUUGUAAAGUACUUUCAGUCGUGAGGAAGGUGUUAAGGUUAAUAACCUUAGCAAUUGACGUUAGCGACAGAAGAAGCACCGGCUAACUCCGUGCCAGCAGCCGCGGUAAUACGGAGGGUGCGAGCGUUAAUCGGAAUUACUGGGCGUAAAGGGCACGCAGGCGGUUAAUUAAGUUGGAUGUGAAAUCCCCGGGCUUAACCUGGGAAUGGCAUUCAAGACUGGUUAGCUAGAGUCUUGUAGAGGGGGUAGAAUUCCAUGUGUAGCGGUGAAAUGCGUAGAGAUGUGGAGGAAUACCGGUGGCGAAGGCGGCCCCUGGACAAAGACUGACGCUCAUGUGCGAAAGCGGUGGGGAGCAAACAGGGAUUAGAUACC
RNAcentral lists this ribosomal RNA (454 nucleotides) under uncultured bacterium. RNAcentral describes it as "bacterial SSU rRNA". It matches the Rfam family "Bacterial small subunit ribosomal RNA", at positions 340 to 786 of the family's 1533-position model. The record is from RNAcentral.